Molecule: non-coding RNA, 45 nt
Filed under: Schistosoma mattheei
Lineage: Eukaryota; Metazoa; Platyhelminthes; Trematoda; Strigeidida; Schistosomatidae
Source: RNAcentral
GCACUGCUGAGGAGUCCCACAACAGGACGAAACGAAGUCCAGUGC